Small nuclear RNA from Manis pentadactyla (Chinese pangolin), 102 nucleotides. The record is from RefSeq and is a predicted model, not a curated record. NCBI's taxonomy places the organism in Eukaryota, Metazoa, Chordata, Mammalia, Pholidota, Manidae.
GAGUAUUCAUUCAUUCAUUCAGAAGUUGGAAUGGUACAGAGAAGAUUAGCAGGGCCCCUGUGCAAGGAGCAAAUUUCUAGUGUUCUGUAUUAAAAAAAAAAU